AGGAGUAUAGCUAAGUGGUAGAACACUUGCCUAGCAUGCAUGGAACCCUGGAUUCAAUCCCCAGUGCUACCA
Molecule: transfer RNA, 72 nt
Filed under: Ictidomys tridecemlineatus (thirteen-lined ground squirrel)
Lineage: Eukaryota; Metazoa; Chordata; Mammalia; Rodentia; Sciuridae
Description: Spermophilus tridecemlineatus (thirteen-lined ground squirrel) tRNA
Rfam family: tRNA
About the family: Transfer RNA (tRNA) molecules are approximately 80 nucleotides in length.
Source: Rfam by way of RNAcentral